This 62-nucleotide microRNA precursor is filed under the name Petromyzon marinus (sea lamprey). Its description in RNAcentral is "Pma-Mir-7-o3_pre stem-loop". The record is from RNAcentral. Lineage: Eukaryota; Metazoa; Chordata; Hyperoartia; Petromyzontiformes; Petromyzontidae.
UGGAAGACUUGUGAUUGUGUUGUUGUAUCGCUAAAGCAGGCAACAAAUCACAGUGUUCCGCA